RNAcentral lists this unclassified non-coding RNA (222 nucleotides) under uncultured fungus. RNAcentral describes it as "sequence contains ITS2". Lineage: Eukaryota; Fungi. The record is from RNAcentral.
ACUUCUCAACCCCACCAACUUGAUUGUUGGCAGUUUGGGUUUGGAUCAUGACCUUUGUCUGUUGAGAUAUACAAGACUGGGUUGAAAUGUAACAAGCUACAUCAAAAUACUUUGCGGCUUGAGCUAUCGUUAUAGAACUUUCAAAUUCGAUAGUAACGCAAAGGUUGUUGAACAAGCUUCCCAAAACCAAAACAAACACUGUCGAAAGUUCAUCACAGUGCA